RNAcentral lists this ribosomal RNA (497 nucleotides) under uncultured bacterium. RNAcentral's name for it is "partial 16S ribosomal RNA". It matches the Rfam family "Bacterial small subunit ribosomal RNA", at positions 28 to 507 of the family's 1533-position model. The record is from RNAcentral.
GAUGAACGCUGGCGGCGUGCCUAAUACAUGCAAGUCGAGCGAACGGACGAGAAGCUUGCUUCUCUGAUGUUAGCGGCGGACGGGUGAGUAACACGUGGAUAACCUACCUAUAAGACUGGGAUAACUUCGGGAAACCGGAGCUAAUACCGGAUGAUAUUUUGAACCGCAUGGUUCAAAAGUGAAAGACGGCCUUGCUGUCACUUAUAGAUGGAUCCGCGCUGCAUUAGCUAGUUGGUAAGGUAACGGCUUACCAAGGCAACGAUGCAUAGCCGACCUGAGAGGGUGAUCGGCCACACUGGAACUGAGACACGGUCCAGACUCCUACGGGAGGCAGCAGUAGGGAAUCUUCCGCAAAGGGCGAAAGCCUGACGGAGCAACGCCGCGUGAGUGAUGAAGGUCUUCGGAUCGUAAAACUCUGUUAUUAGGGAAGAACAUAUGUGUAAGUAACUGUGCACAUCUUGACGGUACCUAAUCAGAAAGCCACGGCUAACUACGUG